CGGCAACAGUACCUUGAGUUUUCAACCUGAAGCCCGCCCGCAAAGCUUGCCAGGACUUCAGCACCAUCUGCUGAAUGGGUUCUUGCUCCUCCUGAGGAUCCUGGGAUAUGUGGCAGAAGCUCUGACUACCUCUGACCCUGGGAGCAAGUUUAUCCAGAGAAACCCAUUGGGGGAGACCACCAAGCUUGCUGGCUUGCUAGGUCUUACCAACGCAUGUUCCAGGCCAAGAGAAAUAAACAUGUGAAUUAUGUAUCC
This 255-nucleotide long non-coding RNA is filed under the name Ictidomys tridecemlineatus (thirteen-lined ground squirrel). Its description in RNAcentral is "lncRNA (ENSSTOG00000030277.1)". The record is from RNAcentral. Lineage: Eukaryota; Metazoa; Chordata; Mammalia; Rodentia; Sciuridae.